Molecule: ribosomal RNA, 468 nt
Filed under: uncultured bacterium
Lineage: Bacteria
Description: partial 16S ribosomal RNA
Rfam family: Bacterial small subunit ribosomal RNA (bases 58-468)
Source: RNAcentral
GGGGGGGGGGGGGGGGGGGGGGGGGGGGGGGGGGGGGGGGGGGGGGGCGCGGGGGGGGUGGGGGGCGCGAGGGGCGAACGGGUGGGUGAGGCGUGAGUGACCGGCCCUUGACUUUGGGAUGGCUUCGGGGAGCUGGGGCUGAGACGGGAUGGGGGGGCCGGCUGCAUGGUGGGGGUGGGAAAGGUUGGGCGGUUGGGGAGGGGCUCGCGGCGUCUCAGCGUGUUGGUGGGGUAGUGGCUUACCAAGGCGGUGACGGGUAGCCGGCCUGAGAGGGUGACCGGCCACAUUGGGACUGAGAUACGGCCCAGACUCCUCCGGGCGGCAGCAGUGGGGAAUAUUGCACAAUGGGCGGAAGCCUGAUGCAGCAACGCCGCGUGCGGGAUGACGGCCUUCGGGUUGUAAACCGCUUUCGCCUGUGACGAAGCGUGAGUGACGGUAAUGGGUAAAGAAGCACCGGCUAACUGCGUG